UGGGGAAUAUUGGACAAUGGGGGCAACCCUGAUCCAGCAAUGCCGCGUGUGUGAAGAAGGUCUUCGGAUUGUAAAGCACUUUCGACGGGGACGAUGAUGACGGUACCCGUAGAAGAAGCCCCGGCUAACUUCGUGCCAGCAGCCGCGGUAAUACGAAGGGGGCUAGCGUUGCUCGGAAUGACUGGGCGUAAAGGGCGUGUAGGCGGUUUACACAGUCAGAUGUGAAAUCCCCGGGCUUAACCUGGGAGCUGCAUUUGAUACGUGUAGACUAGAGUGUGAGAGAGGGUUGUGGAAUUCCCAGUGUAGAGGUGAAAUUCGUAGAUAUUGGGAAGAACACCGGUGGCGAAGGCGGCAACCUGGCUCAUGACUGACGCUGAGGCGCGAAAGCGUGGGGAGCAAACAGGAUUAGAUACCCUGGUAGUCCACGCUGUAAACGAUGUGUGCUAGAUGUUGGGUAACUUUGUUAUUCAGUGUCGCAGUUA
RNAcentral lists this ribosomal RNA (482 nucleotides) under uncultured bacterium. RNAcentral describes it as "partial 16S ribosomal RNA". It matches the Rfam family "Bacterial small subunit ribosomal RNA", at positions 355 to 854 of the family's 1533-position model. The record is from RNAcentral.